RNAcentral lists this ribosomal RNA (500 nucleotides) under uncultured Chryseobacterium sp. RNAcentral describes it as "partial 16S ribosomal RNA". The record is from RNAcentral. Lineage: Bacteria; Pseudomonadati; Bacteroidota; Flavobacteriia; Flavobacteriales; Weeksellaceae.
CACGGAGUUAGCCGGUGCUUAUUCGUAUAGUACCUUCAGCUACUCUCACGAGAGUAGGUUUAUCCCUAUACAAAACGAAGUUUACAACCCAUAGGGCCGUCGUCCUUCACGCGGGAUGGCUGGAUCAGGCGCUAACCCAUUGUCCAAUAUUCCUCACUGCUGCCUCCCGUAGGAGUCUGGUCCGUGUCUCAGUACCAGUGUGGGGGAUCACCCUCUCAGGCCCCCUAAAGAUCACUGACUUGGUAGGCCGUUACCCUACCAACUAUCUAAUCUUGCGCGUGCCCCAUCUCUAUCCACCGGAGUUUUCAAUAUUAAAUGAUGCCAUCUAAUAUAUUAUGGGGUUAUUAAUCUUCCUUUCGAAAGGCUAUCCCCCUGAUAAAGGCAGGUUGCACACGUGUUCCGCACCCGUACGCCGCUCUCUCUGUCCCGAAAGCAAAUACCGCUCGGCUUGCAUGUGUUAGGCCUCCCGCUAGCGUUCAUCCUGAGCCAGGAUCAAACUC